RNAcentral lists this long non-coding RNA (4298 nucleotides) under Sus scrofa (pig). RNAcentral describes it as "lncRNA (ENSSSCG00040022233.1)". Lineage: Eukaryota; Metazoa; Chordata; Mammalia; Artiodactyla; Suidae. The record is from RNAcentral.
CUCAGCAUUGUUUAUGAGGUUUGAUUUUGCUGAUGCAGUUAUUGUAGUUCUUUUUUUGUUUUCCUGCUGCUCUGGCAUUCCAUUGCGUGAAUUCACCUCAGUUUAUUAGUUCAUUUACCAGUUGGCAGAUGUUGUAGUUGUUUCUAGUUUUUUGCUAUUACAAACAUCAUUGCUGUAAACAUUCCUGUGUAUGUUUUCUACACUUAAAAUAUGUACAUAUUUUUUAUACCUUUAGUUAUGGAUUUUCAAAUGCCUAUAGAAAAGUCUAGAUAGGAAACUGAAUGAUUCAAAAUUCCUUUGUAAACUUUGUGUUUUCCAUAGUUUCUUAAAUACCCUUAAUUUUAUGUUCUGUAGUUAAAAAAACAAUGUACCGUAGAUGCUGUUUUCCUUUGGAAAACACAGAAAAGGAUAAGAAUUAAUAAGAGAAAUUUGAAUUAAUCAAUGUGGAAAGAAUCAUAAGUCCGCACUGGGAACUCUCUCUAGUCACUUAUGACAGAGCAUGAUAAUGGGAGAAAAAAGAAUGUAUAUAUGUAUGUGUGACUGGGUCACCUUGUUGUAUGGUAGAAAAUUGACAGAACACUGCAAACCAGCUAUAAUAGAAAAAAUAAAAAUCAUUAAAAAAAAAAAGUCCUUUUAUAAGUACUUCCAGGCUUGAAUUACAGUGUUUCUGGCAAGUCUGUAGCUUUUUAAACUUCUUUUCUGUUAUUUUUCUUUUCAUCAACUGUGGACCACUCACACUUCCUUUGUCAGUAUCAUGUAGGCCAAAGGAGACCCAUCAAAAACUUUUGCUAUCUAGGAAUAUUUUUUUUUCUAAGAAUAUUUUUAAAGCAUUGAAAUAAUUUAAGAAAUUUGAGCUUUAAUGGAGCUUUUGAGUUUUAAAGUUUUUGCGUUUUGUUUUGGUCUUAUUGCUAAGGUUUUUCGGAUUAAGGCAUGCCAGCCUCUUGGUAACGAUUUUUGGUACUCUGACUAAAUUGCACAGACUCACUUGGCCAUGACAGUUUUUCUGUCCUGCCUCACUGACUCAGAGCUCUAGGUGAUUGAGCAAAUAGAGACAUUCAAAACAACUGAUCACAGAACUUGGGAAAUUUGUAUUCAGUUUUGACUGAUUGACAGUAGAACUGUUAGACUUGGCCUCAGACAUGAGGAGAAAUUCAUUUUAAUUACCUGUAAACUUUGUGGAACAGUUUGUGUGACCUUCAUUUAAAGAUGCACCCCCCCCAUAAACAUCACUCACAGGUCUCUGGAGUUCCCUAAGGCAGGCAUCAUUCUUUGAGUGUUUCAUGAACGGUAAAACGUGAUAACACGUCCCCUUAAACAUAUGGGAGUUGGUUGAAAAUUUCUGAUGGUCACCAUAGUAAUUAAACUUGGAUAAUGGAACUUGCUUGAUGUAAGCAGUUUUCCUCAGAUUAUGAAGGAACCUAAAACUCAAGUUUUAGAGGAGUCCCAAAAGUCCUCCUCACUUGCACCGUCUUUUUAUAGCAACAUGUACUGUACAAACUUGAAAAAAAUUGGCCUUUGUAGUUCCCGUCGUGGCACAGUGGUUAACGGGUCCAACUGGGAACCAUGAGGUUGCGGGUUUGAUCCCUGGCCUUGCUCAGUGGGUUAGGGAUCCGGCGUUGCCGUGGGCUGUGGUGUAGGUUGCAGACGUGGCUCAGAUCCCAAGUUGCUGUGGUUCUGGCGUAGGCUGGCGGCUAUAGCUCCUAUUAGAUCCCUAGUCUGGGAACCUCCAUGUGCCCGGGGUGCGGCCCUAGAAAAGGCAAAAAGACAAAAAAAAAAAAAUUGGCCUUGGUGCCAGUUUUGGUUCAGGAAAGUCAAAUUUCAGAGUUGGAAUGGAUGAAGAAAGUUCCUUCCUUCCUCCUCCCUCCUUCCUUCCCUCCCUCCUUCCUUCCUUCCUUUUGGCUGUGCCUAUGACCUAUGGAAGUUCCCAGGCCAGGGACUGAACCCACAUGAAAGUUUCUUGAUAGUAGCUCACAUUUAUGUAUUGGCUUGGGAUAGAAAGUUAAAAUUGAGAUUGAUGAACAACCCAUGUAAUAACCGUUUAACUCCUAAAAUGUGAGCACUUUAUUUCCUAUGUCAUCUCCUUUUCAUAUUUCUCUGAAUAAAAUGCUCAUGAUCUUUCUGUGCCCAACUUGGGGAAAGUCUUUUCGAGAUUUUAGUUUGGUCUUAGAUGAUUUAAAAUAUUUGUGAGUAUAUUGCAGAGCAAUGUUAGUUUGUUCCAUACAGAAUGUGAUACUUGUAUUUAUUGAUUAGUCCCGUCUUAAUAAGAUUUAUACAGUCUGGAGGAAAAGAUGGGGCUAAAAUGACCCAAAUAUUGUAUUCAAUGUGUUUGUGGGUUUUUUUGUUAUGUUUUGUUUUGUUUAUUUGGCCGCACCCACAGCAUGUAGAAGUUCCUGAUCCAGAGGUUGAACCCACGCCACAGUUAGCAGCCCAAGCCACUGCAGUGACAAUUAUGAGUCCUUGACCCACUGCACCACAAGAGAACUCCCAAUGUUUUUGUUACUUUUAAGGUAAAUUAGUAAGUGGGGAGUUCCAUGGUGGUCUGUUGAUUAAGGAUCUGGCGUUGUCACUGCUAUGGCAGGAGUUCAAUCCCUGGCCCCAGAGUUUUGGUGUGUUGCAGGCCCAGCCAAAAAGAAAAAAGUUUAUAAACUAAGCAAGUGAAAGGAAGCCAUGUCUACUUGGCGAAUGAGAAUCAAAACCCCUAAAAGUACCUAGGGUGUUAGUAACAGCUGUCAUUCCAGUUUGAAAUUUGCAUCAUUGCAGUAUAAAAACUGAACUGAUGUACUUAAGUUUAGAGGGGAAAUUUUUUUUUAAUCCAUGGUCACAGACAACUUCUCUUUGGAGAACAGAGAAAGGCAGACUAAGAAAUACAAAUAGGAAGUGUUUAAUCCUGUAUUGUGGCUUACUCUAGCAUUUCUUAUUCUCUUAAAUUUUGGGCUAGACUUCUACAAAAAUUAAUCUAUAAACUUGAGUGGUGUGUGUGAUUGCCAGCUGUGUGACCUUUCUAGGGUUGGAACUUUCUGGAAUCUAAUUCCUUCUACUUUAUAACCUGUAGUGUAGGAAAGUAACACCCACCCCCCGCUCCCCACAGUUAGGGCAGGGUGGAAAAAUCUCAUAAAUAAAAUAGUAAAAGGCUAUAGUUAUCUUGAAACUCAUGAACAUUUUUAUUUUUUAUUUCUUUUGUCUUUUCUAGGGCUGCUCCUGCGGCAUAUGGAGGUUCCCAGGCUAGGGGUCAAAUUGGAGCUGUAGUCCCUGCCCUACACCAGAGCCAUAGCAAUGCGGGAUCCGAGCCGUGUCUGCCACCUACACCACAGCUCACGGCAAUGCCAGAUUCCUAAUCCACUGAGAGAGGCCAGGGAUCGAACCCACAACCUCAUGGUUCCCAGUCGGAUUCGUUAACCACUGAGCCAUGACAGGAACUCCUCACGAACAUUUUUAAAAGUAAGUUUUUUCAUUUUUGUAGAUGUGUAUUUUAGUUAAUAGUUUUUCCUGUCUUCAUUUUCCUUCAUAAAAAAAUGAGAUAUUCCUGAGUUAGCACUCUCCUGAAAUGUACUGUUUGGCUCAGAUCUGUGCUCUGUAUAGAGUGUCCUGCGCCUGCCCAUGUCUGACUCGGAAGGGGAGACACAGAUGGGAGAGCGGGUGACUGACUCAGAGAGCUCUAAAUGAUCUUACUAUGCUUGAGCGAGCCACACCUAGAAACCUUGACAAUAAUAAGACCUGUGUUGGAUAUGCCUUACUUGUCAGAUCCUGUCUGGAUUUUAGUCUGUCACAUGUGUGUUGUUCAUCGGCAGAGUUAAAUGGGUACCAGAACAAUUGCAAAGCUUUAACCAGACCCAUGAUUACACUGUUUCUCACUUCAGCCAUACAAAGAAAAUGAAACACAAACCCAAAACAAAUUUCUAGUUGUUUCUGUUAUUGUAGGUUCUGGUCAGUGGUUUUAGUGCUACAGAUCCUACACCAAGAUAGAUGUUCAUGGGUAAAUUCAUUAAGAUAAUCAGUGUCAGUGGCAAGCUGUUAAUGUUUUAAAAUAACUUUUCUCUGGGAGUUCCCAUUGUGGUCCAGCAGAAACGAAUCUGACUAGUAUCCAUGAGGAUGUGGGUUCAAUCCCUGGCCUCGAUCAGUAGGUCAAGGAUCCAGCAUUGCUGUGAGCUGUGCUGUAGGUCACAGACACGGCUGUGAUCUGGCUGUGCUGUGGCUGCGGUGUAGGCAGGCAGCUGUAGCUUCAAUUGGACCCCUAGCCUGGGAACCUCCAUAUGCCAUGGGUGCAGCCCUGAAAAAAAGAAAAGAAAAGAAAAGAAAAA